CCUACGGGAGGCAGCAGUGGGGAAUAUUGCACAAUGGGGGAAACCCUGCUGCAGCGACGCCUCGUGAGUGAAGAAGUAUUUCGGUAUGUAAAGCUCUAUCAGCAGGGAAGAAGAAAGACGGUACCUGACUAAGAAGCACCGGCUAACUACGUGCCAGCAGCCGCGGUAAUACGUAGGGGGCAAGCGUUAUCCGGAUUUACUGGGUGGAAAGGGAGCGUAGACGGCUGUGCAAGUCUGAAGUGAAAGCCCAGGGCUCAACCCUGGGACUGCUUUGGAAAAUGUGGAGCUAGAGUGCUGGAGAGGUAAGUGGAAUUCCUAGUGUAGCGGUGAAAUGCGUAGAUAUUAGGAGGAACACCAGUGGCGAAGGCGGCUUACUGGACAGUAACUGACGUUGAGGCUCGAAAGCGUGGGGAGCAAACAGGAUUAGAUACCCUAGUAGUC
RNAcentral lists this ribosomal RNA (441 nucleotides) under uncultured bacterium. Its description in RNAcentral is "partial 16S ribosomal RNA". It matches the Rfam family "Bacterial small subunit ribosomal RNA", at positions 338 to 795 of the family's 1533-position model. The record is from RNAcentral.